AUUGAACGCUGGCGGCAUGCCUUACACAUGCAAGUCGAACGGCAGCACGGGAGCAAUCCUGGUGGCGAGUGGCGAACGGGUGAGUAAAGUAUCGGAACGUGCCCAGUCGUGGGGGAUAACGUAGCGAAAGUUACGCUAAUACCGCAUACGAUCUAUGGAUGAAAGCGGGGGAUCGCAAGACCCUGCGCGAUUGGAUCGGCCGAUAUCAGAUAAGGUAGUUGGUGGGGUAAAGGCUCACCAAGCCGACGAUCUGUAGCUGGUCUGAGAGGACGUACAGGCACACUGAGGCUGUGGCAAGGCCCAGACUCCUACGGGAGGCAGAAGUGGGGAAUGUUGGAAAAUGGGCGAAGGCCAGAUCCAGCCAUGCAGCGAGCAGGAUGAAGGCCUUCGAGUUGUAAGCUGGUUUUGUACGGAACGAAAAGGUUUGGCCUAAUAAGCUGAGCUCAUGACGGUACCGUAAGAAUAAGCACCGGCUAACUACGUGCCAGCAGCCGCAGUAA
This 500-nucleotide ribosomal RNA is filed under the name uncultured bacterium. Its description in RNAcentral is "partial 16S ribosomal RNA". It matches the Rfam family "Bacterial small subunit ribosomal RNA", at positions 29 to 523 of the family's 1533-position model. The record is from RNAcentral.